Molecule: ribosomal RNA, 153 nt
Filed under: Pseudomonas aeruginosa
Lineage: Bacteria; Pseudomonadati; Pseudomonadota; Gammaproteobacteria; Pseudomonadales; Pseudomonadaceae
Description: partial 16S ribosomal RNA
Rfam family: Bacterial small subunit ribosomal RNA (bases 41-153)
Source: RNAcentral
UGAGCCAAGUUUAGGGUUUUCUCAAAACCCAAGCAGUAUUGAACUGAAGAGUUUGAUCAUGGCUCAGAUUGAACGCUGGCGGCAGGCCUAACACAUGCAAGUCGAGCGGAUGAAGGGAGCUUGCUCCUGGAUUCAGCGGCGGACGGGUGAGUA